GGUAAAAUGGCUGAGGUUAGGCAAUAAAUUGUAAAUUUAUGAACGAAUAGAUUAUUCUUUUACC
RNAcentral lists this transfer RNA (64 nucleotides) under Crepidodera pluta. RNAcentral's name for it is "tRNA-Tyr". Lineage: Eukaryota; Metazoa; Arthropoda; Insecta; Coleoptera; Chrysomelidae. The record is from RNAcentral.